CUGCAGUCAAAGAGAGUGGAGCUGGUCUGUGUCUGGUUUAAUGUUGACGCUUCAACGGCGUUCUUUUUGACGAGGAUGACGCAGACUCCAGUUUUUCUCCAGCACAGUCAAGGUUCCUAUCACUCAUCACAGAGAAUGAGCUUAAAGAGGACAACACUGUGUGGAGGGUGCUCUAGUGCAUCAGGGUGGAAGAUGGGGUGAAUUCCUCAAGAACUAAAAUCUGCAGUCGUUGCAGAGAAUGGCCUUCAGUAAAAGUCAUAAAGCUGCUCGGCUGUAUUAGCAUGCUGGGUUCAGGGAGUUCUGGAUGGACAGAAGCAAAUGUGGAUCAGCACCACUGCACCUGAUUCUGGGUAAGUUGUUGUUAAAGGGGGUCAUUUGACCGCGGUAGAGCUGCUCUGAAGAAUUUACAGUUCGCUGUGAUGAUGAUUUUUCCUGCCAUUCGUAGUUUCCACCAGAGGUUUAAACACCAAAGAUGGUUCAAAUCUUCCUUGGAUGUCUGAGCGAACACUUAAAGUUUAACUCUUGUUAUUAACAUGUCGUCUUUCAAAACUGACUGUACCUCAAUCUGUUUCAGGAUGAACGUCUUCAGUUAUGCCCACCAGCUGUAAAUCCGUUGCGUCACCAAAGCUGCAGCCGGUAUGUAUUUGUUAAUAUUUUGGACUUCAUCUCUUGAAAUGGUUUCGCUGUGAUGAUGAUUUUUCCUGCCAUUCGUAGUUUCCACCAGAGGUUUAAACACCGAAGAUGGUUCAAAUCUUCCUUGGAUGUCUGAGCGAACAUUUAAUUCAUGUUGUAUCUUCUUGUCUCUUUCUGACUUAUGUAUUGACCUAAACUCAAUCUCACUUUCAGGCUGAAUGGAUGUUUCUGUGAAGGAUAGACCUGCAGAUUCUCCAGAACUAGUGUUGGUGGUCAGAGUUCCUGAAGCUGGUACGUAUUCCAAGCUGUUCUUGGCUAGAAUGGAGAUUGACAUUUUGCCACUUUAGUUACAAAAAUAGUUUUUGGAACUUUUUUUUUAAUAAUUAUCACUAUUUGAACAUUAAAAAAUUGGGACACAUUACUUGUGUAUAUAUGUGCAAGUUUGUACUCUGUGCUUUAAAGUCCUGGGGUGUUGUAGAUGUGUCCCCUGUAACUUUGACUGUAGUGAUUAAACUCUUAAUUGGAUUUCUCCCCAAAAAUUGUACAUGCGCUCGCUAUCAUAUGUAUUUUUCUCUUUUCCUUUUAAAUGCUUGUGAAGUUGCACAGUUUGGAUUAAAACAUGAAGGGGAAAUGUUCGCUGUGAUGAUGAUGAUUUUCCUGCCAUUCGUAGUUUCCACCAGAGGUUUAAACACCAAAGAUGGUUCAAAUCUUCCUUGGAUGUCUGAGCGAACAUUAGAGGAUUGUAGCUCUGCUUUUGAACAUCUUUGUUUUAAGAACUAACUUGAUUUUUAUUCUCACUUCAGGGCAUUUAUUGCCACGGAUACAAGGCUAAUCUGUGGAUCCUCCAGACUGUUAAAGCUGGUAUGUACGGUAACUUUAUGAAGUCUUAAGUCUUUGAAGAGUUUGUCGCUGUGAUGAUGAUUUUCCUGCCAUUCGUAGUUUCCACCAGAGGUUUAAAUGCCAAAGAUGGUUCAAAUCUUCCUUGGAUGUCUGAGCGAAUAUUAGAUUGUAGCUUUGCUUGUGAACUCUUCUCUUCCAGAGCUAACUUUAUCUCAAUUUAUCUCACUUUCAGGCUGGACGUCAACGUUGAUGGACCUGCAAUCAAAGAUAACUCAGCUUUUUUUUUUUUUUUUUUUUUUUUUUUUUUUUUUUUUUUUGCCCUGCUCUUUGAAAGUUGGCUGUAGUCUUAAACAUUAAUUUAAUGUUAAACAAAAAACAAGCUAGCAGUUUUUUGUGAUUAUAAAUGAGUUGUUCUUAGACUUAAAAUGACUGUUUGUUCUGUACAAGUAAAUAAAAAAAACAAUAGGUGUGGA
This is a long non-coding RNA of Oreochromis aureus, 1946 nucleotides long. The record is from Ensembl. Lineage: Eukaryota; Metazoa; Chordata; Actinopteri; Cichliformes; Cichlidae.